RNAcentral lists this ribosomal RNA (589 nucleotides) under uncultured bacterium. RNAcentral describes it as "bacterial SSU rRNA". It matches the Rfam family "Bacterial small subunit ribosomal RNA", at positions 536 to 1122 of the family's 1533-position model. The record is from RNAcentral.
GAGCGUUAUCCGGAUUUACUGGGCGUAAAGCGCGUGCAGGCGGUCCAGCAAGUUGGAUGUGAAAGCUCCCGGCUUAACUGGGAGAGGUCGUUCAAUACUACUGGACUUGAGAGUGGUAGAGGGAGGUGGAAUUCCGGGUGUAGUGGUGAAAUGCGUAGAUAUCCGGAGGAACACCAGUGGCGAAAGCGGCCUCCUGGACCACUUCUGACGCUCAGACGCGAAAGCUAGGGUAGCGAACGGGAUUAGAGACCCCGGUAGUCCUAGCCGUAAACGAUGUAGACUUGGCGUUGGUGGGUUCAAAUCCAUCAGUGCCGAAGCUAACGCGAUAAGUCUACCGCCUGGGGACUACGGCCGCAAGGUUAAAACUCAAAGGAAUUGACGGGGCCCCGCACAAGCAGCGGAGCGUGUGGUUUAAUUCGAUGAUACACGAAGAACCUUACCAGGGUUUGACAUGCAAGUGGUAGGGAUCCGAAAGGUGACCGACCCUUCGGGGAGCUUGCACAGGUGCUGCAUGGCUGUCGUCAGCUCGUGUCGUGAGAUGUUCGGUUAAGUCCGCUAACGAACGCAACCCUCGCUGUGUGUUACAUGU